This 72-nucleotide transfer RNA is filed under the name Patescibacteria group bacterium. RNAcentral describes it as "tRNA-Arg". It matches the Rfam family "tRNA". Rfam says of the family: Transfer RNA (tRNA) molecules are approximately 80 nucleotides in length. Their secondary structure includes four short double-helical elements and three loops (D, anti-codon, and T loops). The record is from RNAcentral.
GGUCUCAUCGUUCAAUGGAUAGGACACACCCCUGCGAAGGGUGUAAUGCAGGUUCGAUUCUUGCUGGGACCA